RNAcentral lists this ribosomal RNA (435 nucleotides) under uncultured Roseburia sp. Its description in RNAcentral is "bacterial SSU rRNA". It matches the Rfam family "Bacterial small subunit ribosomal RNA", at positions 341 to 792 of the family's 1533-position model. Lineage: Bacteria; Bacillati; Bacillota; Clostridia; Lachnospirales; Lachnospiraceae. The record is from RNAcentral.
ACGGGAGGCAGCAGUGGGGAAUAUUGCACAAUGGGCGAAAGCCUGAUGCAGCGACGCCGCGUGAGUGAAGAAGUAUUUCGGUAUGUAGAGCUCUAUCAGCGGGGAAGAAAAAUGACGGUACCUGACUAAGAAGCACCGGCUAAAUACGUGCCAGCAGCCGCGGUAAUACGUAUGGUGCAAGCGUUAUCCGGAUUUACUGGGUGUAAAGGGAGCGCAGGCGGUACGGCAAGUCUGAUGUGAAAGCCCGGGGCUCAACCCCGGUACUGCAUUGGAAACUGUCGAACUAGAGUGUCGGAGGGGUAAGUGGAAUUCCUAGUGUAGCGGUGAAAUGCGUAGAUAUUAGGAGGAACACCAGUGGCGAAGGCGGCUUACUGGACGAUAACUGACGCUGAGGCUCGAAAGCGUGGGAAGCAAACAGGAUUAGAUACCCUGGUA